Micropterus dolomieu (smallmouth bass) is the source of this 2442-nucleotide long non-coding RNA. RefSeq lists it as uncharacterized. The transcript has 3 exons. NCBI's taxonomy places the organism in Eukaryota, Metazoa, Chordata, Actinopteri, Centrarchiformes, Centrarchidae. The record is from RefSeq and is a predicted model, not a curated record.
UUUCACUUCAGCCCCGGUUCUCCACACAAUCUCUGCUUGAUCGUCGUUGCUCCAAACCCGGUUCACUCACCUCCGUCCCCCGUUGUGUCAGCUGGGCUCGCCACCCUGCGCUCUCCCGUCGGACCUCCUCCACGGCGUCCUCCCGGUUCUUCCCCGUACCUAGCCAGCCAGCCUGCCACCACACUCCUCCACCAACCCCCCCGGUCAGUUCUCCCCGGCCUCCUCUCUUCUUCGGUCCCCAGUGCCCCCCGGCUCCCUUGUCUCAGUCUCCUCGGUUCCCGUGUUUCCCCGGCAUCCGCCUCACCUCCACUCCCUCAACCCCCUUUUCCUUAAUAAAAUCAUAAGCGUUGCAUUUGGGUCCACUCUGUCCACACCAUAACAGAACGAUCAAGCCAACAUGGACCCAGCACGCUCACCCCUCCCCUCUCCUCCGACUCCACGGAAUUUGAGUACUGGCGCCUGGACUUCGUGACGCUGAAAGAGCUGUGGAAGGGAGCAAUCAAUGACUGCCUGAAGGAAGCCUUCCGCGCCAGGGCUCAACAGCUGCUGUGGGCUGAACCUUUGUUUGAGGGAUUUUUUGCCCCCCUGGGACGCUUGCUUCCUCCACGCCAUAGCCCCUCCACCUAAGGAGCUCCCCAGCAGCCCCCCGCCUGUUCCCCAAGCUGCUAGCGCCACUAGCCUCCAGCCUGCUCCUUGUGCCUCGUCGGUGGUCCGGCUGACUCCUGCCCCCCCCCCCGUACCCUGUCGGAGGACCGACCGACACCCAUUUCGCUGGUGGACCGGCCGACUCCCACUCCGUGUGCUCUGUUGGUGGAUCUACUGGCUUCAACUCCGCCGGUGGUCCGGCCAACCCCUGGUCCUCAUGCUAAGGCCAUCGUCCAGCCCGCGGCCCAGACCACACCACCUCCUUGUUCCCCGUCCACGGUCCCCAACCCAGCAACCCCUGGUUCCCCCUGCUCCUGCUUCACUGACGGCCUUCUGCAUCCCCCAGAAGCCUCCAAAGGGUCUCCACCUUACCCGUCGGUCCCCAGCCCAACCUCUAAAGAGGCCUCGCCCUCAUCCCGUCACCCCCUAGCCCAACCUCCAGAGAGGUUACGUCUUCUCCGCCGGCCCAGUGGACAGCCUCCUGGGGCCUCUGGUCCUUUCUGUCGACCCUCUGUUUGGCCCCCUGUGGACCUUUGCUCAGGCUCCUGACCUCCCCAGUUUCGCCCUCUGCCCGGCCUCCCACCUGACCUUCCCGGUUUCCCCUCUGCCCUAGCCCUGGGACGUCCGCCCGAGGUUCCCGGUUCCCUCUCUGCCCUGCCCCUGGUCCCGCUGCUCUGCCCUGCCUGCUCGCCUGAAUUUUAUUUAGUUUUAUUUAUAUUUUUUUCCAGCCCUGCUCUCUAAGACCUGUCAUUUCGUUUCCAUUUUGGACCCUGGACCCCCACCAGGAUCCUAGUGCAACUCCCCCCUGACAGACAUCUGUUGAGCCCUUCCCAGCCAACUGGGAGGUCCACCUGGAGGUGGCCGUUGAGGAGGGAGCCCUGUUGUGGCGGCAGCCUGGCUGACUGUUCACUCAGCUCCGUCCCUCGUCGUGGCAGCUGGGUUCACCACCCUGCCCUCUCCUGUCGGACCUCCUCCAUGGCGUCCUCCCGGUUCUUCCCCCGUACCUAGCCAGCCAACCUGCCACCACACUCCUCCACCCCCCAAAUUUAAAGUCUUUUAAAACAACCAUUGCUUUAACGCUAAUAUUUCCAGAUAUUUAGUGGUAUGAGUGAGAAUCUUAACAGACAUGUCGCUCUCUUCUUAGUCUUCAGCUUUUCGCAGCUGUUAUGAAUGAAGUGAUGGUAGAAUGAUAAGUUUCAUUCUUCACACACACACAUCCUCUCUGCAUGACUGGUUGACCAGCAGUGGGUAUUUCACCCUUUUCUUUCUCAUGAAUGCUGACAUCAGUUUGCUGACUCUCAGCAAAAGCAUUUAUUUUCUCUGUACCAUAAAUCAUGUGAUUCCCAAGGCCCUCUCUAACUAGGAAGUGGCGAGUUGCAUCCUCUUAUUAAAUUUGCCACCCAGCCUCGCACUGCAGCAGCAGGGAGAGGAUGUGGUUACCACCCAUCGAAACGAGCACACUUUACCUCCUUUCUGCCAUUGCAUACCAAACAUGGCUGAUUCUGAAUCAGCUGCAGCCUUAGUGGACUGAAAGGGCCUUCGCUCAUUUUCCAGGGGCCUUCUAGGUUUGUGUCAAUCAUUCGUCACGCUCUCCUUUCCAGUAAAUGUGUGAGCUUUGUUUUCCUCAAUCACAGGAAGCUGAAGAGCCAUGACGGUAACUUCAAGGGUCAUAGCUGCUGUAACGCUCAAGUCUCCCCAUGAUGUUUUUUCAAUUUCUCUCCUUUUCUGUCCUUCUAUAUGUCGUGCAGCGAUUCAGAUCGUGUCUCCUUAAUAAAAGUCUUUAUAAUUUAACUGAAA